This 3202-nucleotide long non-coding RNA is filed under the name Zea mays. Its description in RNAcentral is "long non-coding RNA (ZMAY_LNC005026)". The record is from RNAcentral. Lineage: Eukaryota; Viridiplantae; Streptophyta; Magnoliopsida; Poales; Poaceae.
CUAGAUCAUGUGGUGUUUACAUCAGCUUAAUAUGUUUGUCAAAUGUGUGAAGGAUUAGGGGUUAUUAUUAUUGACUUUGUAUGUCUGGUACUUUGAGUGCAUCGUAUGAUAGAAUGAAAUGUAAGUUUCUGAACUACAGUAGAUGAAGACUUAUAUUAUGUGUAGGUUAUCCUUACUAGUUGGAUAUUUUUCUUAGUUGAGAUGUUGAAUGAAGUAUAGUGACAUGGGUUAAGCAAGUAUUGUGUUGUUGUUGGGCUAUCAGUGUUCUAUGUAGAGUUUUUGGCAUUUCUUCGAUGAACUAUGCCGCACAAGAUGUUAUUGGCUUCUUUUGGCUUUAUUGCUCCAUUAGUUCUAUAGAUUUUCUCCCUUUUGGUGGGGUGCAAGGAAUGUUAGAUUACAUGAUUAUCUUUUCAUGAUGGCAAGAAUAAGGUUUAGGAAGAUUAGGAGUUUUGUUCCAAUAGAACUACUUGUUUCAUAGUGCUUUAAGGUGAGGUGUUUGAUCUUCUUAUACAUUCGUCGGGUGUAGAUGUUUCACCAUUUAAUUAAAAUUAAUGGUUGAAGUUGGUAAGGGUUGUGCUUGGUGCAUAUUACCCCUUCAUAAAAGAGUGUUGUCUUAAGACAUUGAUGUUGAUGUAUAGCUGCAUCCAAAUUUGAUGGUGUGAAAUUGGAGUGUUGAUUGCAACUAUGACAUGCUUUGAGCUUCAUUACAUGUUGUUUCAUGCUUGAUGUCAGGUCAUGUAGUUUCCUUAGACAAUUAGUCCAAGGUAGAAGUUCUUGUGUUAAUUAAGACCAAUAAUGGACCCAUGUUUUGAAUUGUGGUGCUAUAUGGGGUACCUUGGGUGUUUUGCUUGGAGUGGCCGAAUUCGAGGUCGAAUUCUUUUUAAGGGGGGUAGAGUGUAAUAUCCCAAAAAAAUGUUGACCAAAAGUUAAUCUCUGGUGCGUGGAUGAGGUAAAGGGUUGUGGGCCAUUGGAUGCAAAGAUAGAAGUCAUCUGAGGCGUCGUUUCUUUCUCCCACAAAAACCCUAGGUGGCCACCCCUUUUUUUUCCCUUCACUCCCCUCUUGGCCGCCACCCCCUUUUUCUCCCCCUUGGCUGGACGCCCCCUCCCCCUAUGGCAUCCAUCCUCCGUUGCUUUCUCCCCCAAGAUCUCCCCCUACGCAGCAAGGAUCGAGAAAAGGAGGGGCACGUUGAAUUGAAGAGGAAGAGAGGAUCAAGGAGAUGUUCUUCCCCAUCUCCUCUUGAAGAUUUCUUGGGGAAACCCUAGGUAUGGAUGAGAUCCUUGUUCCUCCCUGUAAUUAUAGGCUUUUGGAGGUUGUGGAUCAUGGGAAUUAAAGGAUUAGAGGUUGAAUUUGAUGUGGGGUUAGGUUUUGAUCUCGAAUUUAGUUUUCUGCAGAAUGGCAGAUUCGACAGUUUCUGUUCAUGCCAGUUUUCCGUGGUCUUAGUGGACUCAAAAAAAUAAAAAGUCUAUGUAUGAGUCGUAGAUAAUUUGUAGAUCGUUCCGUGGCCGCGAAGAACACCUCAAUCGGACAUCCGACCAGAAAGUUAUUGCAGUUUUACUAUAGCAGUUUUUCAGUCUCAUAAUUCUGUGCAGAAUCUGUUCUCUUAAGAUUUAGGCAAUUUUAUCAACAGAAUUAAACUGUGGGUUGGUAAAAGAAGUUGUAGAUAAUUUUAUAAGCUUUCCAGAUUGUUAAAGAGUGCAUUCAUAUGAUUUGUGAAACUCCAGUUAUGUUUGUUUUACUGUGGCUGUUCCUGUUUACCUGACAAAAAUGAGUGGGUCUGUUUACUGGUGGGUUUCAUCUAGUAAAUGGCCGAAUUGGCUCUUCUAACUAUGGAGACUUUUGUAGAGGGAUAAAAGUUCUUACUUCCAGCAGAAUUUCAUAAUUUUUGGUUCAGCAGUUUUGGAGAUAUCGAAUUUUAAAGUUAACCAUACUGCUGUCUAAAACAGAUUCAGUCAGUUAUCUUGUCAGAUGUUUUAGAACUUGUAGAUGACAGAAUUUAAUUAUCUAUUGAAUAUUGAAGUUGUAGAGUAUUUUGUGUAGAUACUCCUAGAGUAUUUGUUUGAUAUCACCGCUGUUUUAAUUUUAAAGAUACAAAAUUAACAAACAGCGUUGCUGCUGUAUGGCAUGUGGUUCAGGGUGGGAGUCUUUCCACUGGGUCUUGGUUUCAAGUGUAGGAGUGUUUUGUUGAUUGAUGGCAAAUGUUUGUGAAAUAUUUGUACUAAGUUUUAUGCCCACUAGCAGGUGGCUACACUCCAGAUCAUGUCUAGUACAUUUCUUCUUCCUCGAUGAAGGCAAGUGAAUGUAGCGGUGGUUGCUUCCGUUCUGACCUGUUAUUUCUAUCGCCUACACUCUAAUAUUCAGAAGUAUCAGAUUCUUUCAUAAUUGGACUCUAUGGUGAUGCUUUACUUGCUUGCAUUAUACUGAUGCUCAAUCAUAUAUUGAUGAUGACUAUGAUUUGAGUAUGACUCAUGAGAUUAAUUCACACCCCUGAAGGUAAAUGAAGUAUUAUUUGAGGUUGGUAUUGUAUCUGAAGGUAAAUGAAGUAUUAUUUGAGGUUUGUGUUGUAUCUGAAGGAAGUGAAGUUUAUUGAUAAAUGUAGCAUGCCAUAUACAUUGCAUGACUCAUUUGCAUAUGAAGUUUUGUCGUGACCUAUGGUCCGACCGUACCGGUACAACUUAGCAUCGUACGUUGCCCGAGAAGGGGUACGAUGCGGCUUCAUACCCUUAGAGGUAUGAAGGCAGAGGACAUAUGCAUUGCAUUCAUAUGCAUUCAUUGAAGUGAUAUUUGCAGAUGAUGUGGUUUUAUACCCCCAGAGGUAUGAAGAUAGAGUACCUACACAUUGCAUUCCUAUGCAUACAUUGAAAUGAUAUUUGCAGGUAUUGUUGACGCAGGGAAGUGUUAUAGAACCUAUUGUGGUUGUUCGAGGAAAUGAGAUGGUAUUGGUUAUAGUGGGACUACUGAGUUCUAUAUCUACAAGCAUUUCUGAUUUUUAAUUGUGACUCUUUUAAAAUGUUGAUGAAUUCAAUUUGUGGUUUAAAUAUCUCGUCAGAACAAUUAGCUUGCUGAGAUGUUUCAUCUCACUCUUGCAUUACUCAAUGCAGGUGCUUGUUGCUCAUCAAGGGGAGUGGGAAGUAGCAGCACAUCCACCUUCAUUCUCAUAAUAAUGCUGCCCAGACGCAGCCAUGAUUUAAUUAGAAACUUCUU